AGUGAUGAUGAUCUGCAGAGUGGCUGCGUCCACAUUCCGCAGGUGUACGUGUGUCUGUUUGCUCUCGCUCAGCCCGCUCAUGAACAUUGCUCUGAGGAGAAACACAUAUUAAGACAAGGAUCAGCAGAAACCAGACAUGAGAGAAGUUAGAAGGGACAGUGAGUGCACCUUUUAGUCCUGCUUCUGAGUGCAGAGGUGAAGGAGACAUGGAGAUACACUCCCUAAGCAAAGCCAUUCCAGAAAGCAUCUGAUACAAAAGACAUUUUCCCAUCCCUAUUUCUCUGUCUUCUUCUAAGCUCCUUAACUCAGGGCAACUUGCAUUUUAGGAGGGAUCACUGACUAACUGAGUAUCAACUUGCUGUGCAGCUAUUUAAAAAUAA
Molecule: long non-coding RNA, 380 nt
Organism: Passer domesticus (house sparrow)
Lineage: Eukaryota; Metazoa; Chordata; Aves; Passeriformes; Passeridae
Exons: 2
Source: RefSeq, a predicted model, not a curated record